This 433-nucleotide unclassified non-coding RNA is filed under the name soil metagenome. Its description in RNAcentral is "partial contains 5.8S ribosomal RNA, internal transcribed spacer 2, and large subunit ribosomal RNA". The stretch from base 1 to 120 matches the Rfam family "5.8S ribosomal RNA", at positions 35 to 154 of the family's 154-position model. The record is from RNAcentral.
GAUGAAGAACGUAGCGAAAUGCGAUACGUAAUGUGAAUUGCAGAAUUCAGUGAAUCAUCGAAUCUUUGAACGCAUAUUGCGCUCUCUGGUAUUCCGGAGAGCAUGCUUGUUUAAGUAUCAGUAAACACCUCAACUCCCCUUUCUUUUUUUGAAAUGGGAGCUGGACUUGAGUGAUCCCAACGCUUUUCUCACCGAAAAGUGGCGGGUUACUUGAAAUGCAGGUGCAGCUGGACUUUUCUCUGAGCUAAAAGCAUAUCUAUUUAGUCUGCCUAAAAAACAGAUUAUUACCUUUGCUGCAGCUAACAUAAAGGAGAUUAGUUCUUGUGCUGACUGAUGCAGGAUUCACAGAGACAGCUUCGGCUGGCCUUUGUAAACUCGAUCUCAAAUCAAGUAAGACUACCCGCUGAACUUAAGCAUAUCAAUAAGCGGAGGA